RNAcentral lists this ribosomal RNA (111 nucleotides) under Salibacter halophilus. Lineage: Bacteria; Pseudomonadati; Bacteroidota; Flavobacteriia; Flavobacteriales; Salibacteraceae. The record is from RNAcentral.
UACGGUGACUAUGGCGGUGGGGAUCACCUCUUCCCAUUCCGAACAGAGUAGUUAAGCCCACCAGCGCAGAUGGUACUAGAGUUAAUCUGGGAGAGUAUGUCGUUGCCGAUU